CGGUUAAAAAGCUCGUAGUUGGAUUUCUGCGGGAGACGAAGGGUCUACCUUACGGGUAAGUAUCUCUCAGGCUCCUGCAUCCUCAACAGGAAUGUCGCUGCGAUUCAUUUCGUGGUACGGUACUGUUGACUUUUACUUUGAGGAAAUUAGAGUGUUCACGGCAAGCAAACGCGUGUAUACAUUAGCAUGGAAUAAUAAUAUAGGACCUUGGAUCUAUUUUGUUGGUUUCUAGAACUAAGGUAAUGAUAAAUAGGGACAGUUUGGGGGCAUUUGUACUAACGCGUCAGAGGUGGAAUUCUUGGAUUGCGUUAUGACAAACUACUGCGAAAGCAUUUGCCAAGGAUGUUUUCAUUGAUCAAGAACGAAAGUAUGGGGAUCGAAGACGAUUAGAUACCGUCGUAGUCUAUACCAUAAACUAUGCCAACUAGGAAUGAGACGGAUGUAUAUUUUAUGACCCGUUUCGCGCCUUAUGAGAAAUCAAAGUUUUUGGGUUCCGGGGGGAGUAUGGUCGCAAGUCUGAAACUUAAAGGAAUUGACGGAAGGGCACCACCAGGAGUGGAGCCUGCGGCUUAAUUUGACUCAACACGGGAAAACUUACCAGGUCCAGACAUAGUAAGGAUUGACAGAUUGAUAGCUCUU
This 639-nucleotide ribosomal RNA is filed under the name uncultured eukaryote. RNAcentral describes it as "SSU rRNA". It matches the Rfam family "Eukaryotic small subunit ribosomal RNA", at positions 616 to 1259 of the family's 1831-position model. The record is from RNAcentral.